CGUCACCACGAGCGCGAGAAGUCGAAGGUAGGAGCAGAAAGCGGUGCUAGUGUUAGUUCUGGCCCGUUUGGACCCAAACUAAAGUGUAUCAGUAUGAAGCAAGCGGUGACGGCGCACUGAUUCACUCUCGGAGCUCGGUUCACUAAUGACCGAAUCACCGAGGAACCGACCAAAGAUAACUCACACCCGCACGGAGAAGAAGAACAAGAGGAGGAGAAGAUGAGCUGGAGUGGGGCAAAGAGAACUGCAUUCAGAUCAAACGGAUACAAGAGAGGUGGCCGAGUUGUUUGAGGAUCUAAAGAAUUGAGUGUCACAAUUCAACAUGCAUAUCAGCGAAACUUUUCCCUCUGACUACACCAGCACGCACACACAGAAAUUCAUAGUGCAGGUGGUGAUUGCAGGCGCAUUUUAUCCGAACUGCUUCCUCCAGGGAACUCUAUGGAAACGACCCCAGGACCACCAUAGUGUGUGUAAUCUCCCUCCAUUUGCAUUCCUCUACUAUAAACAGCUCCAGUCUCUCUUCAGACACUGUGGUUAAAUCAAAUCCAUCUCCUUUGACAGCUCCAGGGCCUAUGUAGAGUUCUACCGCUCGUCAAUGAGAGGUUCUGGCGUUCUCCCAGAGGUCUCUCUGUCUCUCCUCCUCACGCAGCAGAGACUUCCUCUCCAUCUCAACGUUUAACCCGCUGGAGAGGUGGAGACUUGGGCAGGGGGGUAGUGUAUCUCACACCUCAGAUAUACACGGGUGAAUGUGGAUUUUCAGAAUCAGUCAGUGAGCCCUGUCGGGGUUCUGAGCAGCUCCGUUGAGCUGGAGAAUCUUCCGUCUAACCCUGUCUUUAUCGUCAAUAUCACCGAGGUCAUCAAAGUCGGGCAUUUCUGGGGUUUCCAGGCUCACUCGGCAAGUCUGGAGAAACAGAGGUGGCUGACAGUGGCCGUUAAUACACGGGUGCUCUGCCCACUUCCUGUCUCACUUUAUUCAAAUCUUCUGUGUCUCGCCCCUUUCUCUGAAACUCACACCAAACCUGGGAAUUACUACAGAGCCAAAAUACUGCAUGUCAUGGGGAGUAAUGUAAGGUAAACUGGUUGGCGCUUAUUGACGGGGUGUAUGUGCGUGACUGCACCUGGCGCAUAUUGAAGAGGGUGAUUGCUAACUCCCUGGAAAAGAAUCUCAAUUGGAGGGGAGUCGAUGGAAAGACUUCACUGUCCGCUCUCCAACUCGGAGAGGUCGUGAUUGCUGCAGUUCAUAGAAACCUCCUCACGGCUAAAGCUGCAGAGAUGGAGGUCGAGGGGACCAUGAAGAGGCGGCUCCAGCUGGCAUCAGAGCGAGAGUGUGGGUGCAAGAGCAGACUUUUGAUAAAGGAGGGUAUUUACACUGUUUUAACUGCUGUGUUUUUUGCGCUAUUUAUUAAUUUGUUAAAAUGUUCAUAUUAUAGUCUAUUUUUAAUUGUUUAGAAAGUAACUAUAUAAAAUGGACGUCAACACGCACCACUCUGUGAGGUCAUUUCUCGCUCUCACCAGAGUAGUUGUGAUUGUUUAGUGUUUACGACGGGGCCAAAACAUUCAAGGCCAUGGUGUAUUUUGACUGUUCCUGUAGCAUAAUCUCACCAAACUGUGUGUACACGAGUCCACAGACACUGAGUCUAUUCACAGUUCCAUGCUGUGUAGAUGUUCUGCUCAUCCUCACUGUACCGUAAAGGUCAGAACCUCACAUCUGUAACCUUGUAGCGUUCCUUAAUAAACACGACUGCAACCUAGCUUGUGUAUCACUACUAUUUUUAGAUCUCCGCCUCUCAAAAGUAUUGGCGCCCUGUGCGUCCGCCUCUCAAAUCUUUUGGCGCCCUACGCGGCCAGCUCUCAAAUCUGUUGGCGCCCUAUGCGUCCGGCUGUCAAAUCUAUUGGUGCCCUAUGCGUCCAGCUCUCAAAACUAUUGGCGCCCUUCACGGGCAGUUCUCAAAAGUAUUGGCACCCGAUCUGAAUUUUGCCACGGCAAGCACCACUCACAUUUUCUUCAGGAAAUGUACCUUAAAAUAAUAAAAAGUGUCUCACUAGGCUGUGUGUCGAGAUAAACGUGAAAACAUCUUGAGCUUGUGUUCACCACAGACCUUAUUUCCGGCAUUUAACCCAAAACCCCAUUGACGGAAGUGCUAAUACGCUGAAUCGUUUCUGGGUUUCACGACUCAUUCCUGCAGCACUCUGUAAGACGGGCUGUUGUUAUCAAACCAUCGAAGUAAGAUAAGCGGCUUUGGUAAUGAUUCUUUAAAUGAACCGAUUCAGAAUCCUCUUCUUGAAUCGUUUGAGUCGUUCUCACUCGGUCAGGGUUGCACGUGUGGGUUGCUUUUCCUGCACGUGUUCACAGACCGUAAAUCCCGACCCCAUGGUAGACACUCGACAGAAAUUUCAUACUAAAGUAAGUAUUUUAUAUUUUCUGGGUCUAAACAGAGCAGAAGUAUUGCUAACGUGUUGUACAGAUUCUAUUGGACUGGUGAACUGUGUGGAUUUGUAUAUUUAACCCAGUUUAAUAUGGCCUGCUUUGUUCAGUCAGAGACAAGUAAAUCUGUUCUAAUGUUCAUUUAUUUUCCAUAGAUAAAACACGUUUGUUUACACAUGAAUACGUGCUUUAUGCUUUCAGAAUGGUGGAGAUUUGGCUCUUAACUAUGGUUAAGUGGGGGGUACUAUAAAAUGCACAGUUCUGAGACACUAUAUACCUAUACUGUGAAAUCAGUACAUGUGUGUUUAGAAUGAUUAUAGCUUUUGGGGAAAAAACUAUUCUUGAAUCUAUUAGUCCUUGUUCUGAUGCACCUGUAACGUCUCCCUGAGGGCAACAGAUCAGAGCCAGGGUGAGAGCUGUCCUCAAUGAUGGUUUUUCCUCUGCUGAGGCAACGGGGGGUGUAAAUAUCCAUCACGGAGGUGUUGUGGAUAAAAAAUGUCAUAAAAUAAACAUAAGGGAGACCUAGCAUCCAGCAAAGGGGAGAAGAAGAAAAGAUGGGCACCUAGACACACAGAAGCGGGAUUAGGCGGACAUUGACAAAUUGGAAUUACACUUUAAAGAUCUUUAAGAGCAGUAGUAGUCAAAAAAGUCAAAAAGAGGUAUACGAGCUGAGCUGAGGAGUGCUAAUACACACACGCGCGCUCGUACAGUCAAGGGCGGGCAAGUAGACACAACAUACACACACAUGAAUAACUUUAAUAAUCUUAUUGUAAUAGAGAAACUCUCUAUAAAAAAACAGAAUAGUAGGAUAUGCAGGACAGUAUGGAGGAUAUGCAGGAGCUUAAGCUCAUCACUUCUGAGAAUUCUCAUCGGUGUGGAUCUCGUGUGGUGGAACGGAACAAUAAAUCUGGACCCUUGCUUCUUCUCACUCACGGCUGGUGUCUUUUUUUCUAUCUCCAACUGGGCUCAGAGGUAGAUGUGAGUGUUGGCUUCUAUGUUGAAUUUUAAGUGUUUUUGGGUAAUAGGCUAUAUUUGAGCCAACAGAGGGGAGAGGUAAUAAAUAAACUUAUAAAUGUGAUUACUUGAUGACCGUAGACAGAACUCUAUAAAUGUGAAAUGUUUUGUUGAAGUUCAGAUGAAUCUCUGAUGUACAGAAUCUUCAACCGAGUUCUGCAGAAAGAUUUUGAAUGCCUGUCAUUCACCAGAACAAAUUUGCAGUUGAACAGUCUGUCUAAAAGAAAAAAUCUAAACACACAAUAUAAAAUUCCUGCAGUGUGAAUAAAGCCUUUGUGUUGCUUUUAGCAAACAUGUCUAGUACUCUCGGUUCAAUGUACACAAUUUACCCCAUUUAAAUGCAUUUUGGAAAUUGUUCCACAUGGCCUUAAAGUGUGAAUAUUCACUGUAUGCCAAAUAAGUAAUCAAAGAAUGGAAUGGAUUUUUUCUUCUCUAAUGGACCAUUAAUCACAAUUAUAAAAGAUGAUGCAUCAGGUACAAAGUAUCAGGGUUUUUCCCCCCUCUUUUUCCCACAAUAGUUGCAUGAUUUUUGCUACACCCUUUCCACCGUGUGUGUGUGUGUGUGUGUGUGUGUGUGUGUGUGUGCGUGCGCGCGCGCUACAAAUCACUUUGAGGUAAAAAUAUUUUAAGGCAGCCACUUUCACCUUCCUACAACAAUUGGUGACUGGUCUGAGGUGAAGCUUCUUGUCAUGUUACUGUGGUCAUGGAUCACAUUGUGGGGAUCUCUGUAAUGUAACCGUUUCUGUAAUUAUCCUUACUUGCCUUUGCGCUUUUGUGCUUCUGUGUCUUCUGUUGGUGCUUUAUUCUGCUUUUUAGGGCCCGAGCACCGCUGCUGCAAAGCCCUAUUGGAUCUGCUGUUUAUUAUUGGGGCAGAGCACCGAAGGUGCAGCGCUUCCGGUGACCACCGGAGGGCGCAUGCACCGGAUGUGCAGGGCCCUUUUGAUUUUCUGGUGUUUAUUGUUUAUUUCAUGCAUUCUUGUCGUUUUUAAGGACCUAAACAUGGCUGAAAACUCCCAAAACUCGGUAGACGCGCCAGCACCAGUGAAAAUGUAACUUACAUUGGGCAUGGGCAUGGUCGAGGAGCUCCUUAGCACCCCUGAAUGCAGACAAAGAUAUCAGUUAGAUUCAGCUUCGGACACAAGUUCCAGGUACUGAUCGAGAAGGAGUGGAUCAGCUUCGGACACAAGCUGGCCUCGCGUGUCGGCCUUGGAGAUGAGAAUCACGCCAACUCGGAACGAUCCCCUCUCUUUGUGCAGUUCAUCGACUGUGUGUGGCAGAUGAUGAGACAGAAAACUACAUGAACGUACAGGUGUUCCUAAUAAAGUGGACGGUGAGUGAACAUGACGUGGCUGAAACGAUUUCCAAAACACUUCAGGAGCAGCUAGCGAUAAAGAUUAAGGUUACACCGGCUUGAUGACUGAUCUUUUAAUAAUGAUACAUAAAUAAAUAGAAAGCGAAUGGAAUGAUUUAGAAAAUCGGUGUCCCAGAACGAAACUGAUGUUUGUGUGCUUUGUUGAUUAUGUAGAUGCCGCUCCAUCAGAAUCUGAGAGAGUUAUUGUUUUUGCGUGAAGAACGUGGAGGAGCUCCAGAGAGAGGCCACGUCAUCCUGCUCCAUCUCCUCAUCCUCAGAGCAUACUUCUCCCUCCUCACAUAGUGGAGGCGGUUCAGCUGGACGGAGAGAUCCUGCAUGCGCUGUGAAGCGAGUGUGUUCUGUGGCGUAUCGGCACCUGGACAAGCACAAGAUCGAGCCGGUGCUCUACAUGAUGGAGUGGUUCAUGUGCGCCUUCUCCAGAACUCUGCCCUGGGCCUCGGUCCUCCGAGUGUGGGACAUGUUCCUGUGUGACGGUCAGACACAAACACACACUUGUCCUUCUUUUCUUUCUGUGUUGAUUCUCUCUCUCAUUCUUUCUUUGUGUAGGAGUGAAAAUGAUAUUCUGUGUGGGUUUGGUGGUGUUGACGUCCAUGCUGGGUACUCGGGAUAAGCUCAAGGCCUGUCCGGGUCAGUAUGAGACCAUGGAGGUCCUCAGAGCGAUUGAGCCUAGAUACAUGCAGGAGGGCUUCUUAGUGCUCCAGGUAACACAACAGAGAGGAAGAGGAGGAGUAUGAUGAUGGGUGUCUCACUACUGGCCUAAUUCUAAAAUCACCACAUACCAAAUGCACAACCAUUUUGUCUUGCUGCCAUCACAAAAUAAUAAUGUUUAAACCUUAAGUAACAGAGUCACAGAGGGUGUAUAUAUUUUUCCACACUACAUGAAGUUUUGGGAUCCUUAUAGACUGUGGAACAGAAGUGUACUCAGUGUGUCUCCACCGUUUUAUUUCAUAUUGGAGUACAACCAUUUUUCUUUUUUACCAUUAAGGAUGAAACACUUGUUUCUUUUAAAACACCGUCUUUAAAUCUUUUUCUACCUCCUAACUAAACCCUCGGACUUAAGACACGAUCUUUGGAGCUGUUGACGCCCUGCUCAGGGUUAAACAACAACGUCUUUACAUUACCUUCAUUAAUAAAUUGUCAAUCUAUCCUCUUGGUUUUUUUAUUUUUUUUUUGGAGCAAAAGUCAGGUCCUCUCUCAUUUCAACAGGUCCUCUUGUUGGUGAAUACACAGCAAUCUUCUAAGGGUAUUAGGAUUUCUCGGAGCAGACAUUGUAGCAGAUAGUUGCAGAGUUUCUUCUGUGUUUUAACCACAACGUCUUAACCAUUAUUUUAACACUGAGACACACGACUCCCUUUAAUUCAUUAACAAACACAUUUGUAAGAAUUCUGGUCAGCAACAGCCCCGAAAGAACACCUGUGUGUCUCUCUCUCUCUCUCUCUCUCUCUCUCUCUCUCUCUCUCUCUCUCUCUCUCUCUCACACCCACCCCCACACACCCACAUGGUCAUCAGAGGUCAUAAAUGUACUGCUGGGACACGGGAUGUCGAAGCAUAGACGAAAGCUUAUGUAUUUAGCGACAGUUCUGUGUAAGUAUCCUCGUUGGCGAACCAUUUUCUGAAAUCUUGUUUAUAGUUUAAACAAAAUGCACGACUCUUUUAAAACACCGUCUUUAAAAAAGGUUUUUCACCCUUAAAAUAACCUGGUUAGAAGGUAGGAUAUGUAAUACAUAUUUUCAUUUUCUUCAGGCAUAUUGUCACUUCAGUCUUCACAACAAAUAACACCGAAGGUUUUGACCUUUCUUUCAGUAAAAGAGAACAACGACAUCAUACAGCCUUGAAGGACUGUAGAAAUUUUUAUUUUACAUCCUAAAGGGUUAGGUUUAGAAGGCAUGUAAUACGCGCGUUUCUUAUAAAACACCGUCUUUAAAACGUUUACCUCCUAAAGGGACCUAUUUAGAAUGUAUGUAAAAACUUUUUUUUUUUUUUUUUAUAUUUCUUCGGGUAUAUCAAUGUUUUAGAGUAUUUAUUUCAGUAAAUUUUUAUUCAAAGUCAUUUGACUUUGAAUGUCACAUUCAACCAUCAUGUAUUUUCUAACAGCGGAGCUAUACAAAACAAACCCCCACAAUCUAAAUUUAAUGUGUGGUUGCGAGAUAAAAAUUCUAAUUUAUUGAAUUAAUUAAAUAUUUAAAGUUGUACACAUUAUUUUGAUGAGUUGUGUUGACAUAAUAAUGUUGAUAAUUACAUCAACUUAAUGCAGAAAUUACACACAAUAUUAAUUGAUUUAAAACAAAAUUUACGUCGUAGUACAUUUACAUUUAUUCAUUUAACAGAGUGUUAGAGGACCUGUAGACUGAACAAAUACUAAGGACAUUACAAUGUGAUUAUCAUUUCACUUACAAUUAAAUUCUACUAAAGCAAUGAAUUUGGGGCAUGUUCUCAAUUGUGAUAUGACCAAUAGUGGACUCGUGUAUAGGCUACACCUGCUAAUACAUUUGAUGGAUUAUUUUGCACUACUACACGUAGCUAAUGCUAGUCAUAUUUAGCAGUGUAAUUUGAAUAUCUACUCUUUAGUUUACCGUAGCAGUGGAUAAGAAGGAAAAAAGUUUCAUUUGACAAAUCUGCUCUUCUAGAGAGGGCUUUUCAUUUGUGCUAUAGGAAAGAUAAGCAUGAUUACAUUUCUGCUUAUUCAUGUAAACCUCAACUACAUUGUGUAAUCUAAUUUCAUGUAUUGAUACAUUUUUUAUUUUAUUUUUUAAAAUCUUUUGUCAUUCGCACACGUAGCCUUCUAGCUCCACAGCCUUUGGACUGUGGAUAGU
Molecule: RNA transcript, 7624 nt
Organism: Ictalurus punctatus (channel catfish)
Lineage: Eukaryota; Metazoa; Chordata; Actinopteri; Siluriformes; Ictaluridae
Gene name: myotubularin
Exons: 15
Source: RefSeq, a predicted model, not a curated record